CUAUGUGUAAGGCACUAUGUUGACCUUGAGGAUACAGGGGGAACAAGAUAAGCAUCAUUGUUGCCCUUAUAGAGCUUCUAGUUUGGUAGGGGAGACAGACAUGUAUAGAAUCUGUUGUACAACUAAUUAUUUAAGUAAAAGUAUGAUAAUUAUUAUAAAGACCUCAAAGGAAAUGUAUCAGGUGCGGUAAGAUAAUUUAACAGGUGGUUUUGCUUAGUUUGAGGGGAAAAACUUUAAGGGCAUGAAGAAUUAGAAAGAGCUAGUGAAAAGAAGGUGUAGCAGCCAAAGAGGUAGGUGAAGAAACAAAUUUGUGGUACGUUAAGAAACCAAGAAGGAGGAAUUUCCAGAGCAUAUUUGUGGUCAUGAAAGUCAAAUGCUGCCAAGAUGGAAAGGAAGAUGGGAGUUGAGACUGGUUUGCUACAUAUGGUGAUGAAAACUGUUCUAGAAAAGUUUCAAGAUUAAUAGGACCAAACACAGCUUACAGGUGGUUAAAAAAUGAGAAGGUGGUGAAAUCCUAAGUACUAUAAUAAGCUCUUACACUCACUUUUUGGUCACUUAACAUGAAGUACUUUGUAAUAUUCUGGCUGUGCUUGCUUUGUCUCCCCAGCUAGAUUGACAGCUUCCUGAAGGUUAUGAUGAUAAACCUAGCCCCUAGCACUGUAUCAACAUGUAGCAUUAGAGUCACCACCUGGAGAUCUAAGACCUUGGCUCUAUCUGGUGCUGGUUCUGCCACACAGAAACCGUGUAACUUGGGCAUGAUCAUCUGUUUCCUCAUCUCUAAAAUGGUGAUAUUCCUAACUUUCCUAUCACUUGGGGUUUUGAAAGGAUCAAAUAGGGCAGUAUAUAGAAAUGGACUUUGUGAAUUAAAAAUUAGUAUUCUAUAGAAGAUAUUGAUAAUAUUCAGUGAAUGACAACAGCUGCUUUACAUCGGAAAUUCUGUGAUAAUCAGUUCUUUGUUUGUUUUAGAUUUGUUCCUUAUAUUGGAAUUGUGACGAUCCUCAUGAAUGACUAUCCUAAAUUUAAGGUAAGAGUCUGUAUUAUUUGUUUUAUUAAAAGUGUAAUCUUUUGGACCAGGCGCGGUGGCUCACGCCUGUAGUCCCAGCACUCUGGGAGGCCAAGGUGAGUGGAUCGCUUGAGCCCAGGAGUUCAAGACCAGCCUGGGCAACAUAGCGAAACCCCGUCUCUAUUUAAAAAAAAAAAAAAAUUAUUAGCCUGGGCGCAGUGGCUCACGCCUGUAAUUCCAGCAGUUUGGGAGGCUGAGGCAGGCAGAUCACUUGAGGUCAGGAGUUCGAGAACAGCCUGGUCAAUAUGGCAAAACCCUGUCUUUACUAAAAAUACAAAAAAAUUAGCCAGGAAUGGUGGUACACACCUGUAAUCCCAGCUACUGGGGAGGCUGAGGCAUGAGAAUUGCUUGAAUAUGAGAAGUGGAGGUUGUUGCUGCACUCCAGCCUGGGUGACAAAGUGAGACUCUGUCUCAAAAAAAAAAAAAAAGAAAAUUAUUUAAAGAAAUGUGAUCUUUUGCUUAGUAUUGGAAACUUUUAAAUGGAUUACAGUUAAAAGAUGAAAGAAUAAUUGGGUAGUUUAGCAAUAUAUUCACAAAGACCAAUUUAUUAAUUAACUCUUAGAACCCCUGAACUUUUCAACGCUUCUCUGACUUGUGGUUCUGUGUUUAUUUUCUAGUAUGCAGUGCUCUUUUUGCUGGGUUUAUUCGUGCUGGUUCAUCGUGAGUAAGAAGCCUGCCUUGCUGUUCCUGGGAAGAUGCCAUACUUUUCGUUACUGGAUGUUUGGAGUAGAUACUGGUCUGUGAUUGGUGGAAUGGAGAACACACGUGUUGGUGCUUCUUGGUAGCACUGGUUUGCAUUAGUUUAUGUUUCCACGCCAGAGUUUGUGUGGGCGGGCGCACGUGCACCACAGAGUGCACUUGAGGGGACUUUCAAUCACAGGAUUUCAUAAUUGUCAUUGUCACACUUUCAAAUUUUUGUACAUCAGUGAAUUUUUUAUAUUAAAAGGUUGAGCCAAAGCCCCCAGUGUUUGUAUUUUGAAGCCAAGCUUCACUUCUAAAGUGCCUACAGAGACUUGUAAAUGAAAAUGCAGCUCUGCACGAGUUUGAAACCGUCAUACCUCCUUCUAAUAGGAAUGGCAUAUACUGAGGUGGUCGUAAGUCUUAACUUUUAAAAUUUUAAAUAAAAGACUUUGCACAUUGAA
RNAcentral lists this small RNA (2205 nucleotides) under Pongo abelii (Sumatran orangutan). RNAcentral describes it as "retained intron". The record is from RNAcentral. Lineage: Eukaryota; Metazoa; Chordata; Mammalia; Primates; Hominidae.